RNAcentral lists this ribosomal RNA (395 nucleotides) under Craniata sp. Its description in RNAcentral is "partial small subunit ribosomal RNA". It matches the Rfam family "Eukaryotic small subunit ribosomal RNA", at positions 582 to 975 of the family's 1831-position model. The record is from RNAcentral. Lineage: Eukaryota; Metazoa; Chordata.
AUUCCAGCUCCAAUAGCGUAUAUUAAAGUUGCUGCAGUUAAAAAGCUCGUAGUUGGAUCUUGGGAGCGGGCGGGCGGUCCGCCGCGAGGCGAGCCACCGCCCGUCCCCGCCCCUUGCCUCUCGGCGCCCCCUCGAUGCUCUUAGCUGAGUGUCCCGCGGGGCCCGAAGCGUUUACUUUGAAAAGAUUAGAGUGUUCAAAGCAGGCCCGAGCCGCCUGGAUACCGCAGCUAGGAAUAAUGGAAUAGGACCGCGGUUCUAUUUUGUUGGUUUUCGGAACUGAGGCCAUGAUUAAGAGGGACGGCCGGGGGCAUUCGUAUUGCGCCGCUAGAGGUGAAAUUCUUGGACCGGCGCAAGACGGACCAGAGCGAAAGCAUUUGCCAAGAAUGUUUUCAUUG